RNAcentral lists this ribosomal RNA (374 nucleotides) under Albinaria tenuicostata. RNAcentral's name for it is "partial large subunit ribosomal RNA". Lineage: Eukaryota; Metazoa; Mollusca; Gastropoda; Stylommatophora; Clausiliidae. The record is from RNAcentral.
GGUAGCAUAAUCACUUGACUUUUAAAUGGAGCCUGGAAUGAAGGAAAGCACGUAGACAACUUGUCUCAUUAAUAAUAUACUUAAAUUAUUAAAUGAGUGAAAAUACUCAUGAUUUUAAAAAUAGACGAGAAGACCCUUAGAAUUUUUAAAAUAUAUUAGAUGAUCUAGUAAGGCUUUUUGUUGGGGCAACAAUAUUUCAUAUAAUAAAUAUUUUGUUUUAUAAUCUGUCGAUUUAAUACUUAUAGUAAAAUUACCUAAGGGAUAACAGCAUAAUUUUAGAAAUAAGCUUGUGACCUCGAUGUUGGACUAGGUACUAUUAAGGCUAAUCGUUUUAAUAUAAUAUGUUCUGUUCGAACUUUAUUACCUACAUGAUC